RNAcentral lists this ribosomal RNA (467 nucleotides) under uncultured Thauera sp. Its description in RNAcentral is "bacterial SSU rRNA". It matches the Rfam family "Bacterial small subunit ribosomal RNA", at positions 916 to 1381 of the family's 1533-position model. The record is from RNAcentral. Lineage: Bacteria; Pseudomonadati; Pseudomonadota; Betaproteobacteria; Rhodocyclales; Zoogloeaceae.
GACGGGACCCGCACAAGCGGUGGAUGAUGUGGAUUAAUUCGAUGCAACGCGAAAAACCUUACCUACCCUUGACAUGUCUGGAACCUUGCUGAGAGGCGAGGGUGCCUUCGGAGCCAGAACACAGGUGCUGCAUGGCUGUCGUCAGCUCGUGUCGUGAGAUGUUGGGUUAAGUCCCGCAACGAGCGCAACCCUUGUCAUUAGUUGCCAUCAUUUAGUUGGGCACUCUAAUGAGACUGCCGGUGACAAACCGGAGGAAGGUGGGGAUGACGUCAAGUCCUCAUGGCCCUUAUGGGUAGGGCUUCACACGUCAUACAAUGGUCGGUACAGAGGGUUGCCAAGCCGCGAGGCGGAGCCAAUCCCACAAAGCCGAUCGUAGUCCGGAUUGUUCUCUGCAACUCGAGGGCAUGAAGUCGGAAUCGCUAGUAAUCGCAGGUCAGCAUACUGCGGUGAAUACGUUCCCGGGUCUU